UACGGAGGUGGCAAGCGUUGUUCGGAAUUACUGGGCGUAAAGGGUGCGUAGGCGGGCUAUUAAGUCAGUGGUGAAAUCCUGCAGCUUAACUGCAGAACUGCCGUUGAUACUGAUAGUCUUGAGUUUGGUUAAGGUAGGCGGAAUGUGUAAUGUAGCGGUGAAAUGCAUAGAUAUCACGAGGAACUCCGAUUGCGCAGGCAGCUUACUAAACUACUACUGACGCUCAGGCACGAAGGCGUGGGGAUCAAACAGGAUUA
This 257-nucleotide ribosomal RNA is filed under the name uncultured prokaryote. RNAcentral describes it as "partial 16S ribosomal RNA". It matches the Rfam family "Bacterial small subunit ribosomal RNA", at positions 524 to 780 of the family's 1533-position model. The record is from RNAcentral.